GAGGGAACUGAGGCCCGGAGAAGUGAACUGACUUGUCCAAGGUCACACAGAAGACAAGUGGGAGAAAAGCAAUGGGACGGGAGCAGAAACGUGGAGACUGGGAACACCAGGAGAGUUGGGGAAGGGGGUCUGCCUCUCUGAUUCCCACCAGCAGCGCUGAAUAUAUGACCUGCUUCAACUUCGCUUUGAAAUAAUGGAAAAUCCUCCCGGCUCCGUGGCUCCGCUAAAGCGUGGAAUAUUUGAUUUAACCCUAAUGCAAAUCACACCGGCAGGAAAUGUCGUAAAGAGAAAACUAAUCUUCUGGAGGAAAAAUAAAUUAUCAACUCUGCUGCGAAGGAAAAGAAAAGUU
This is a long non-coding RNA of Ornithorhynchus anatinus (platypus), 349 nucleotides long. RefSeq lists it as uncharacterized. The transcript has 2 exons. NCBI's taxonomy places the organism in Eukaryota, Metazoa, Chordata, Mammalia, Monotremata, Ornithorhynchidae. The record is from RefSeq and is a predicted model, not a curated record.